This 462-nucleotide ribosomal RNA is filed under the name uncultured crenarchaeote. RNAcentral describes it as "bacterial SSU rRNA". It matches the Rfam family "Archaeal small subunit ribosomal RNA", at positions 80 to 532 of the family's 1478-position model. Lineage: Archaea; Thermoproteati; Thermoproteota. The record is from RNAcentral.
CGAUUGCGGCUCAGUAACACGUGAUCAACUUACCCUAAGGCGGAAGAUAACCUCGGGAAACUGAGGAUAAUAUUCCGUAAUUGAGGAUGCCUGGAAGGGUUUCUCAACCAAAGCACAAUUUAAAUGGUAAUUGUAGCGCCUUAGGAUAGGAUCGCGUCCGAUUAUGGCAGUUGGUGAGGUAACGGCUCACCAAACCUAUUAUCGGUAAGGGCCGUGAGAGCGGGAGCCCUGAGAUGGGUACUGAGACAAUGACCCAGGUCUUAACGAGACGCAGCAGGCGCGAAAUCUUCACCUGCACGAAAGUGUGAUGAGGUUACCCGGAUUGCUACAAUGUAGCUGUGGUAGGUGAGUAAGAUUCCCUACUAGGAAGGAGAGGGCAAGGCUGGUGCCAGCCGUCGCGGUAAAAACGGCUCUUCCGUGGUCGGGAUUUUUAUUGGGCUUAAAGUGUCCGUACCGGUAUAU